Molecule: long non-coding RNA, 1218 nt
Organism: Cuculus canorus (common cuckoo)
Lineage: Eukaryota; Metazoa; Chordata; Aves; Cuculiformes; Cuculidae
Exons: 2
Source: RefSeq, a predicted model, not a curated record
GCUGGGGAGAGGCUCUGGAUCAGGGAGUGCAGGGAGAGGAUGAAGGGAACGGUUUGAAGAUGAAAGAGAGGAGACUGAGAUGAGACCGUAGGAAGAAAUGCUUCCUGUGAGGGUGGGGAGGCUCUGGCCCAGGUUGCCCAGAGCAGUGGUGGCUGCCCCAUCCGUGGAAGGGUUCCAGGCCAGGUUGGAUGAGGCUUGGAGCCCCUGAUCCAGUGGGAGGUGUCCCUACCCAUGGCAGGGGUUGGGAUUGGAUGUGCUUUGAGGUCCCUUCCAACCCAAAACGUUCCAUGAUUCUGUGAUUCUAUGAUUUUUCCAUCAUCUGAGGGGAUGCAAAAAGCUGCUGCCUGUUGGGUCGUGCUGAGUCCUAUAAAGGCUGGAGGGAAAGUGUUCAGAUUUGGGUUUUUUUUUUCCCAUGAAAAACAAAUUCUUGGGUCCUUAUAAUAAAAUUUUGUGUGCAAUUCUGUUCAGAGGCACAUGACCAAACCUGAUGGAUGCAGAGCUGUAAGGAUGAAGAGAUACAUGGAUGCAAGGAUGUAGGGAUUAAGAGAUGCAUGGAUGCACAGAUGCAAACAUCCACGGGUUCAAAGAUAGAAGGCAGGACGGAUCACCCCAUAAACCACCAUGUGGCUACAAGAACACCACAUCUUCAUCGCUGCAGUGUUUUACUCAGCAUCCCCUAACAGUCACACCCCGUGCUAUACCCUCGCCCAAAAGCAAAGAGCUCACCUCCCGCUCCUUGGCCCAGGAAUACAUUAAGCAGGUUGAACUCACCUACUGCUGGUGUAUUUUGGGGGUUAUUUUCCAGAUUUAGGCUUUUGCUCUUCACCUGCAUAAAAAAAACAAAAGGCAAUCAGAGCAAGCAGAUGGCAGGGACCCAAAAGGGCUUAAGGGAUGGAGCCCGAGUGGCGUUUUGUGGCCAUUGCAAAAGAAGCCCGUCAAAAAAAACUAGGCAGUGUUUUAGGAUUGUUUUUAGAAUUCAUUAUUUCUUUGCCAAGAAGAAAUAUUUUAAGCAGGGACAGGGUGGUGACGGCAUUUUCUCCACGGUGAAUUCACCCCAUUUUUAUAUCCAGGUGGGUCUAGAGACCUCGCUGGCUCUUGCUUUGAGCAUCACUCAAUCUAGCAUUCAACAGAGGUUUGGGGGAUAACCCCCCUGGUAUUCACCUCACUCCCCAGAACCCCCCAGUCUCCCAUAACCUCAAAAGAAAGACAAACUGAUUU